RNAcentral lists this ribosomal RNA (547 nucleotides) under uncultured Piloderma. Its description in RNAcentral is "eukaryotic LSU rRNA". The stretch from base 207 to 361 matches the Rfam family "5.8S ribosomal RNA". Lineage: Eukaryota; Fungi; Basidiomycota; Agaricomycetes; Atheliales; Atheliaceae. The record is from RNAcentral.
GGAUCAUUAUCGAAAUUAUAGGUGAGGGUUGUAGCUGGCCUUUCGAGGCAUGUGCACGCCCGAGCCCCUUUAAUCCACACACACCUGUGAACCUAAUGUAAGGGCCCGGUAAAAAGGCCCCCUACGUCUUAUCACAAACCAAUUUGUAUGUGUCAUAGAAUGUAAAUUGAUAUCCUCGCCUUAAAAAAGCGUUGAUAAACUUAUACAACUUUCAACAACGGAUCUCUUGGCUCUCGCAUCGAUGAAGAACGCAGCGAAAUGCGAUAAGUAAUGUGAAUUGCAGAUUUUCAGUGAAUCAUCGAAUCUUUGAACGCACCUUGCGCUCCUUGGUAUUCCGAGGAGCAUGCCUGUUUGAGUGUCAUUAAAUUCUCAACUCUGAUCGAUUUGUUUCGAUCCCGGAGCUUGGACGUGGAGCGUGCCGGCGUGAGUCGGCUCCUCUCAAAUGCAUCAGCGGAAAUUCAACCUUUGGUUUUCUGGAUGUCAGUGUGAUAAUCACGUUGCGCUGUCAUCCGAACCUCGGAGUCCGCUUACAAUGGUCUUCGGACAA